CGCCUCGCGCCCGGGGCCCCCUCUCCAGCAGGUCGGCGCCCUGCGCCCUGCGCCCGCCCGCCUGGGGACCGCCCGCCCCUCCUCUCCGCGCGGCCGCUCGCUGACUCCCUCGGCAGAGAUUGCUUCUGCCUUCCUGUAAAGUUUUCUCCCGCCCACCUUCUCCGCUGCCAGACCGCCCGAGGUGCCCUCAGUUUCUCCCCAAGUUGGACUCACUUUCGGGAUGUCCCAAAAGCCUGAUUCCAGGGCCUGCUAGCCCGACCCCGGUGACGCCUCCACCCGCGCCUGGCCCCAGCCUUCACCCGCGCUCGCCGCCCUCCGGGACACACCCUCCGCCAGAAAACAGCCGGCGGGCGGCGAGACUUUGGGCAGAGUCCGGGUUCCUCUCCGGCGCCCGGCCCGUCUCCCUAUCUCCUUGGGAGUGCGCACCAGUUUCUCUUUAGAACAAGGACGGGGAGGGAUUUGGGAGGGGGCUGAAACCUUUUGCCAUCAGCGAACAGCCUCAGCCAAAAAUAACCCUGGAAAGGCGAGCUAAGAAUGGUUAUCUCCUGCCAGCGCUGAAAUCGGAGGCUGGGCGCUGCGUGCUGUGUGUGUGUGUGUGUGUGUGUGUGUGUGUGUGUGUGUGUGUGUGUGUGUGUGUACGUACCCUCCCACCCCGACCAUUUGUUGAAGGGAAUCACCACUGUCAGACUUCAAUCCAACAGGACCCACUCAAGCCAUCCACACUUUCCCCAGCCUCCUCCAAAACAGCACACUUUCCGGCUGAAGAAAAGAAGAAUGGUAUUCACGCAGUUCCCAUUUUACAGAUGAAAACAAGAGGACUUUUUCUGUGAAGUCAAGAAAGUGGUUACAAUGGUACUUUCAGCCUGUCCGAAUUAUGUAUUGCCCCUCCCCUUUUUAUUAAUAACAUUGAAGUGUGAUGGGAAAACCACUGAAGCCGUCAGUUGAAACCUGCUGGGACUUUUUAGCCAUUCUCUUCAACAUAAAGAAUGGGUGUUUUUGGAGGGGGUGAGAGGAAUGGGGAAAUGUUGUCAAAGAGUACAGUGUUUUAGUUGAGACAGGAAGAAUAUAUUUUGUUGAGAUCUACAGCACAGCAUGGUGACUGUAGUUAACAAUGAAGUAUUGUGUAUUUCAAAAUUGCUAAGACAAUAAAUUUCAAAUGUUCUCACCACAAAAAAGAUAGGUUUUGAGGUGAUGAAUCUAUUAA
RNAcentral lists this long non-coding RNA (1204 nucleotides) under Homo sapiens (human). RNAcentral describes it as "HSALNT0352058". The record is from RNAcentral. Lineage: Eukaryota; Metazoa; Chordata; Mammalia; Primates; Hominidae.